RNAcentral lists this ribosomal RNA (342 nucleotides) under Triticum aestivum (bread wheat). RNAcentral's name for it is "partial small subunit ribosomal RNA". The record is from RNAcentral. Lineage: Eukaryota; Viridiplantae; Streptophyta; Magnoliopsida; Poales; Poaceae.
AUGUUUACUUCCAUUGUAGGUAACGUAUUUGGUUUCAAAGCCCUACGUGCUCUAAGUUUGGAGGAUCUACGAAUUCCCCCUACUUAUUCAAAAACUUUCCAAGGCCCGCCUCAUGGUAUCCAAGUUGAAAGACAUAAGUUGAACAAGUAUGGUCGUCCUUUAUUGGGAUGUACUAUUAAACCAAAAUUGGGAUUAUCCGCAAAAAAUUAUGGUAGAGCGUGUUAUGAGUGUCUACGUGGUGGACUUGAUUUUACCAAAGAUGAUGAAAACGUAAACUCACAACCAUUUAUGCGCUGGAGAGACCAUUUUGUCUUUUGUGCCGAAGCUAUUUAUAAAUCAUAG